RNAcentral lists this ribosomal RNA (1521 nucleotides) under Escherichia coli. RNAcentral describes it as "partial 23S ribosomal RNA". It matches the Rfam family "Bacterial large subunit ribosomal RNA", at positions 705 to 2207 of the family's 2925-position model. Lineage: Bacteria; Pseudomonadati; Pseudomonadota; Gammaproteobacteria; Enterobacterales; Enterobacteriaceae. The record is from RNAcentral.
GGGUAUAGACCCGAAACCCGGUGAUCUAGCCAUGGGCAGGUUGAAGGUUGGGUAACACUAACUGGAGGACCGAACCGACUAAUGUUGAAAAAUUAGCGGAUGACUUGUGGCUGGGGGUGAAAGGCCAAUCAAACCGGGAGAUAGCUGGUUCUCCCCGAAAGCUAUUUAGGUAGCGCCUCGUGAAUUCAUCUCCGGGGGUAGAGCACUGUUUCGGCAAGGGGGUCAUCCCGACUUACCAACCCGAUGCAAACUGCGAAUACCGGAGAAUGUUAUCACGGGAGACACACGGCGGGUGCUAACGUCCGUCGUGAAGAGGGAAACAACCCAGACCGCCAGCUAAGGUCCCAAAGUCAUGGUUAAGUGGGAAACGAUGUGGGAAGGCCCAGACAGCCAGGAUGUUGGCUUAGAAGCAGCCAUCAUUUAAAGAAAGCGUAAUAGCUCACUGGUCGAGUCGGCCUGCGCGGAAGAUGUAACGGGGCUAAACCAUGCACCGAAGCUGCGGCAGCGACACUAUGUGUUGUUGGGUAGGGGAGCGUUCUGUAAGCCUGUGAAGGUGGCCUGUGAGGGUUGCUGGAGGUAUCAGAAGUGCGAAUGCUGACAUAAGUAACGAUAAAGCGGGUGAAAAGCCCGCUCGCCGGAAGACCAAGGGUUCCUGUCCAACGUUAAUCGGGGCAGGGUGAGUCGACCCCUAAGGCGAGGCCGAAAGGCGUAGUCGAUGGGAAACAGGUUAAUAUUCCUGUACUUGGUGUUACUGCGAAGGGGGGACGGAGAAGGCUAUGUUGGCCGGGCGACGGUUGUCCCGGUUUAAGCGUGUAGGCUGGUUUUCCAGGCAAAUCCGGAAAACCAAGGCUGAGGCGUGAUGACGAGGCACUACGGUGCUGAAGCGACAAAUGCCCUGCUUCCAGGAAAAGCCUCUAAGCAUCAGGUAACAUCAAAUCGUACCCCAAACCGACACAGGUGGUCAGGUAGAGAAUACCAAGGCGCUUGAGAGAACUCGGGUGAAGGAACUAGGCAAAAUGGUGCCGUAACUUCGGGAGAAGGCACGCUGAUAUGUAGGUGAAGCGACUUGCUCGUGGAGCUGAAAUCAGUCGAAGAUACCAGCUGGCUGCAACUGUUUAUUAAAAACACAGCACUGUGCAAACACGAAAGUGGACGUAUACGGUGUGACGCCUGCCCGGUGCCGGAAGGUUAAUUGAUGGGGUUAGCGGCAACGCGAAGCUCUUGAUCGAAGCCCCGGUAAACGGCGGCCGUAACUAUAACGGUCCUAAGGUAGCGAAAUUCCUUGUCGGGUAAGUUCCGACCUGCACGAAUGGCGUAAUGAUGGCCAGGCUGUCUCCACCCGAGACUCAGUGAAAUUGAACUCGCUGUGAAGAUGCAGUGUACCCGCGGCAAGACGGAAAGACCCCGUGAACCUUUACUAUAGCUUGACACUGAACAUUGAGCCUUGAUGUGUAGGAUAGGUGGGAGGCUUUGAAGUGUGGACGCCAGUCUGCAUGGAGCCGACCUUGAAAUACCACCCUU